AUCCAGCUGAGGCGUCCCAAAUAGGAGAAAACGCGUGUCUUGAAU
RNAcentral lists this non-coding RNA (45 nucleotides) under Schistosoma haematobium. Lineage: Eukaryota; Metazoa; Platyhelminthes; Trematoda; Strigeidida; Schistosomatidae. The record is from RNAcentral.